Molecule: ribosomal RNA, 463 nt
Filed under: uncultured bacterium
Lineage: Bacteria
Description: SSU rRNA
Rfam family: Bacterial small subunit ribosomal RNA
Source: RNAcentral
AGAAUCAACGCUGGCGGCGUGCCUAACACAUGCAAGUCGAACGAGAAAGUGGAGCAAUCCAUGAGUAAAGUGGCGCACGGGUGAGUAACACGUGACUAACCUACCCUUGAGUGGGGGAUAACCUAGGGAAACCUGGGCUAAUACCGCAUAAUACCUUCGGGUCAAAGGAGCAAUUCGCUUAAGGAGGGGGUCGCGGCCGAUUAGUUAGUUGGCGGGGUAAUGGCCCACCAAGACUGUGAUCGGUGUCCGGCCUGAGAGGGCGCGACGGACGACGACUGGAACUGAAACACGGUCCAGACUCCUACGGGAGGCAGCAGUGGGGAAUUUUGCGCAAUGGGGGAAACCCUGACGCAGCAACGCCGCGUGGAGGAUGAAGUCCCUUGGGACGUAAACUCCUUUCGAUCGGGACGAUUAUGACGGUACCGGAAGAAGAAGCCCCGGCUAACUUCGUGCCAGCAGCCGC